This 363-nucleotide unclassified non-coding RNA is filed under the name uncultured Chloroflexaceae bacterium. RNAcentral describes it as "contains 16S-23S intergenic spacer region". The record is from RNAcentral. Lineage: Bacteria; Bacillati; Chloroflexota; Chloroflexia; Chloroflexales; Chloroflexaceae.
UCCGGCGAAAAACCGGCAGUCUCACCAGACACGUGUAACUGGCGAUGGGGGUUGCGCUCGUUGCGGGACUUAACCCAACAUCUCACGACACGAGCUGACGACAACCAUGCAGCACCUGUGCAUCACCCUCGAAGGAGCCGGCUUUCACCGGUUUGCAGAUGCAUGUCAAACCUGGGUAAGGUUCUUCGCGUUGCGUCGAAUUAAACCACACGCUCCGCUGCUUGUGCGGGCCCCCGUCAAUUCCUUUGAGUUUUAAGCUUGCGCUCGUACUUCCCAGGCGGCCGGCUUACCGCGUGAGCUUAGGCCCACAGAGGCGGUAAAACCUCCAUAGACCGAGCCGGCAUCGUUUACCGCGUGGACUAC